RNAcentral lists this unclassified non-coding RNA (2021 nucleotides) under Hevea brasiliensis (rubber tree). Lineage: Eukaryota; Viridiplantae; Streptophyta; Magnoliopsida; Malpighiales; Euphorbiaceae. The record is from RNAcentral.
AGCUAGCCUCUCUAAACUCAGCUCGGCUUAUUUAAUUUACAAUCCUAUCCCAAAGGAUAAGCACCGCAAUUUCCAAGUGAGGCUUGCUUCUCUCCUGCCUUGCCCUUGGGUCCGUAAAAAAAUUCAUUUAUUGCAGAAAGGGUGACGCUAGUUCACCCAGGACCAAGCCGCAAAAUCAUCUGUACUAGAACACGAAAGUCUUGGUGUAAAUCUUGAAAUGAUACAUUGGCUGAUAACACCACUACAACAAAGUUUUAAUUAAAAAAAUUUUUAACGUCAUCAUUUUUUGUCCAUUCCCAAUUCCAGAAUUGCAUUGGGGCUUAUCCAUUGCUCUAAAUCAUGUCCACUAAACCACUAUUUCGCCGAUAGUGUCGCACUUACAGCAACAGUUGAGGAGAGCAAGACAAAAGUAGACCACAAUUGUCAUAUUCACUUCACCCCCAUCCCACUUUAUUAACUUGAGCAAUAUCUGAAGUUAGCCAAGUCCCUAAAUGACACCAGAGUUCAAGUUUUCAGGGAAGUUCAGCAAUGCACUCAAUUUCAAUCUUGGCAUCCAUCGGCAAUGCUGCUACCUGGUAUGUUGAGCGGGCGGGAAAUGGUGCAGGAAAGUAUUUUGCAUAGAUCUCAUUCACUUUUUUGAAAUCUUUCAGGUCAGCCAACCUGCACAAAACAACAUAUGAAAAGAAGAAAAGAGCUCAUUCUCCUCCAAAUUUACAGUAUCAAAAGAAAUGUUGCAAAGCAGUGAUUUUUACAUGAUUGUUGUCUUUACAACGAAUGAAUGGUCAGCACCACUAGCUUUUAGUAUUUCACCCAUAUUUUUGAGCACCUGUAAAUUUCAUAAACACAAAUACAUCAAUUAUCAACAAGUUGUAAAGCUCAAAAACUAAAAACCUACCAGUAGCACAUUUGUGCUUUGGCUAAGCUCAAUCAAUGUAAUAAAGCCAAAGUAAAAUGUAAGGCUAGUCAAGAUUUGCUUGUGUACCUGUUCCGUCUGAUCCUCAACACUAUCUGAGAUGAACUUCCCAGUCUGAAUUAGAGUAUCAUAGAUGUAUAAUCAGUACAACAUGGAAAGGGAUUCUAAUAAAUAGAGGAGGAUAAAGUACUUGUUCAAGCAUUAGCAUGGUGUUACAUUUAGAUCUGGCCAUGAGCCAGUUUGGAAUCGAAACUGGUCUGGAACCAUUCAAAACCGGAUUGACCAAAACCAUUAUUACUGGAAUCAGUUGGUUCGAUUCUGGACCAAAUCGGAUUUUUUAAAACAAAUAAAAUUUUGUAAAAAAUAUCAACACUGUUGGAUUUGACCAAAACUGGAACUGGACCCAGGGGUAACCCUUAAGAGCCGAUUCUGGUCCCCCGGAACCUCUGGUUCAGGCCCAAAACCGGCCCUUGGCCAGCCCUAUUUACAUGUACAUGAAAGUGGAGAGACUAAGAAAAAAGAAUAAAAGAACAAAGAUACAUGGAAUGUUGUGUCAUGCAAGUCUUCAAAUGAUAAUGGUAUGUACCUCCGGAAUAAGACCUAGAACACCAGAAACAAAUAUAAGGUUGUUGACUUUGAUUGCUUGAGAAUAUGGUCCCAAUGCUGCUGGAGCCUUGUCUGUCUUAACAGCCUCCUUUUUAGCUGGAAUAAGUAUUUGUUUACCAAUGUUAGGCAUCAAAAUAAUCAGAGCCCAAAGAACACAAAUUUUUUUCUAAUGAGAUGCACAUGCAUGCACGCACCAUUGUUAGAGAUAACAGUCAGCAGAUCUACAUCCUUUUAAUGAAAUAUUACUUGCCCCUAACACGUGCUCUAGGUUAAUCUUUUAUUAUUCAUUUCUAUCAACCCACUUCUUAUUUCUCCUCAUUUCUUUGACCUAUAGCUUUUCCUUUAUCCCUCUUUCUAGAGAUUGAUAAAAUUUCCCCUUCUAAUUUUUUCAUUACAUCUUCAAAUCUACAAUUAAUAAGUCUUAACCCAUAAUUGAUCACACAGCUUGACAUUAUACUUAAAAAAAAGCAUCAAACUAUUUCAGCCGUUAAUACAGUUUUCU